GUAGGGUGCGAGCGUUGUCCGGAAUUAUUGGGCGUAAAGAGCUCGUAGGCGGCCUGUUACGUCUGCUGUGAAAGCCCGGGGCUCAACUCCGGGUCUGCAGUGGAUACGGGCAGGCUAGAGUCCGGCAGGGGAGACUGGAAUUCCUGGUGUAGCGGUGAAAUGCGCAGAUAUCAGGAGGAACACCGGUGGCGAAGGCGGGUCUCUGGGCCGGUACUGACGCUGAGGAGCGAAAGCGUGGGGAGCGAACAGGAUUAGAUACCCUGGUAGUCCACGCCGUAAACGGUGGGCGCUAGGUGUGGGGUCCCUUCCACGGGUUCCGUGCCGUAGCUAACGCAUUAAGCGCCCCGCCUGGGGAGUACGGCCGCAAGGCUAAA
RNAcentral lists this ribosomal RNA (374 nucleotides) under uncultured bacterium. Its description in RNAcentral is "bacterial SSU rRNA". It matches the Rfam family "Bacterial small subunit ribosomal RNA", at positions 527 to 898 of the family's 1533-position model. The record is from RNAcentral.